This 253-nucleotide ribosomal RNA is filed under the name uncultured bacterium. Its description in RNAcentral is "partial 16S ribosomal RNA". It matches the Rfam family "Bacterial small subunit ribosomal RNA", at positions 524 to 776 of the family's 1533-position model. The record is from RNAcentral.
UACGUAGGGGCCGAGCGUUGUCCGGAUUUAUUGGGCGUAAAGAGCGUGUAGGCGGCCAUGUAGGUCCGUUGUGAAAACUCGAGGCUCAACCUCGAGACGCCGAUGGAAACCAUGUGGCUAGAGUCCGGAAGAGGAGAGUGGAAUUCCUGGUGUAGCGGUGAAAUGCGCAGAUAUCAGGAAGAACACCUGUGGCUAAGGCGGCUCUCUAGUACGGUACUGACGCUGAGACGCGAAAGCGUGGGGAGCGAACAGG